Molecule: transfer RNA, 25 nt
Filed under: Ambystoma jeffersonianum (Jefferson salamander)
Lineage: Eukaryota; Metazoa; Chordata; Amphibia; Caudata; Ambystomatidae
Description: partial tRNA-Thr
Source: RNAcentral
GAAGAUUAAAAAUCUUCUCAAGGUA